RNAcentral lists this ribosomal RNA (253 nucleotides) under uncultured bacterium. RNAcentral's name for it is "partial 16S ribosomal RNA". It matches the Rfam family "Bacterial small subunit ribosomal RNA", at positions 524 to 776 of the family's 1533-position model. The record is from RNAcentral.
UACGUAGGGUGCGAGCGUUGUCCGGAAUUAUUGGGCGUAAAGAGCGUGUAGGCGGUUUGGUAGGUCCGUUGUGAAAACUCGAGGCUCAACCUCGAGACGCCGAUGGAAACCAUCAGACUAGAGUCCGGAAGAGGAGAGUGGAAUUCCUGGUGUAGCGGUGAAAUGCGCAGAUAUCAGGAAGAACACCCGUGGCUAAGGCGGCUCUCUAGUACGGUACUGACGCUGAGACGCGAAAGCGUGGGGAGCGAACAGG